This 377-nucleotide ribosomal RNA is filed under the name uncultured eukaryote. Its description in RNAcentral is "partial 18S ribosomal RNA". It matches the Rfam family "Eukaryotic small subunit ribosomal RNA", at positions 592 to 976 of the family's 1831-position model. The record is from RNAcentral.
CAAUAGCGUAGAUUUAAGUUGCUGCAGUUAAAAAGCUCGUAGUUGGAUUUCGGGUGGGAAUGGCCGGUCCGCCGUUUCGGUGUGCACUUGCUACGCCCACCUUGCUGCCGGGGACGUGCUCUUGAGUUCACGCUCGGGACACGGAGUCGGCGAGGUUACUUUGAGUAAAUUAGAGUGUUCAAAGCAGGCCUACGCUCUGAAUACAUUAGCAUGGAAUAACACGAUAGGACUCUGGCCUAUCUUGUUGGUCUGUAGGACCGGAGUAAUGAUUAAGAGGGACAGUCGGGGGCAUUCGUAUUUCAUUGUCAGAGGUGAAAUUCUUGGAUUUAUGAAAGACGAACUACUGCGAAAGCAUUUGCCAAGGAUGUUUUCAUUAA